Molecule: ribosomal RNA, 500 nt
Filed under: uncultured bacterium
Lineage: Bacteria
Description: partial 16S ribosomal RNA
Rfam family: Bacterial small subunit ribosomal RNA
Source: RNAcentral
GACGAACGCUGGCGGCGUGCCUAAUACAUGCAAGUCGAGCGGACUGAUUAAGAGCUUGCUCUUAUGACGUUAGCGGCGGACGGGUGAGUAACACGUGGACAACCUGCCCUGUAGAUCGGGAUAACACCGAGAAAUCGGUGCUAAUACCGGGUAAUAUCUGAGAUCACAUGAUCUUAGGUUAAAAGAUGGCUCCGGCUAUCACUACAGGAUGGGCCCGCGGCGCAUUAGCUAGUUGGUAAGGUAAUGGCUUACCAAGGCGACGAUGCGUAGCCGACCUGAGAGGGUGAUCGGCCACACUGGGACUGAGACACGGCCCAGACUCCUACGGGAGGCAGCAGUAGGGAAUCUUCCGCAAUGGACGAAAGUCUGACGGAGCAACGCCGCGUGAGUGAUGAAGGGGUUCGGCUCGUAAAGCUCUGUUGUUAGGGAAGAAACAGUACCGAACGAACUAGGUCGGUACCUUGACGGUACCUAACCAGAAAGCCACGGCUAACUACGUG